ACAAAAAGAUUUUUUUUUAAUCGAUCUAUAGAUUGCUGUAAUCAUAGUUAGGGUGCACUGUUUAUCAACGACAAAGCUACGUUCUAUAACUGGAGAUUCUUCACUCUUAAAGCUCAUUUAAAAUGAUGGUCAUUUUAUAUGCAUCAAACAUGGUACGUUAGUGUUCGGAUCAGAGAGCUGCUUUUAAUCAUAUGCCCAACGAGACCAUCCUCAAUUUUACUAAAACAAUCUUUGCUGAACCUGGAGCCUAUGAAGUGCACUGGACGAAAAGUGCAGAAUUCCACUUGAUCAGUAGCCGCGAGGAUUAGAGAUGAAAUGCACAAAGUUCAACAAAAUGUUUUUGCGUAACAUCCAUUUUUAAAUAACGCAUACACAUACAUUCAUUGAACUUCCAAGGGAAACAACUAUUUUAUCAUCAUCAUCAUCGCAGGAGUGUUGUGUGAUUUUUAUCCGCAGGGCACGAGACCCACUUAGACCAAAGCGCAACAUCUGGUGGACCUCUUGAUGGCGCCGAGGAGCCAUUUGUGCAACAUUUGUCGCCAAACUGCAAAGAGGGUGGACGGAGGUUGGAUGCACAAACCCUGGGAAAAGCAACGCUUUGUCCAUAUAAGGCCGCGAUCCAUCCGCUUCCCUCUUCCUCCUUGCUCCCCUGCCUUUCUCAGACCUUCGGGAUAUUUACAGAGAGUUCCUUCCUUAUUAGGAGCUCUGCUUGUUGUCUAGCCUGCAGGACAGUGAUCCGCUACUUGGCUCUCAUGAGAUAAAAACUGAUGGAUCUUCACGCACAAAAGAACGACUGCUCCAGUGUGACCAAAUGCCACGCUAUUAAAAAAAGAACAAUGCACAGGGUGCAUGCGAACAAAAGCGCAGUAAACCAGGUACCCACAAAUUACAAGUUAGGCAACAUGAUUUAGACCAUGUUUGGGAAUGAGGGAAUUCCAUCGUGAUGUUUAAGUCCUCUCCACGUACAUCUAAAACCAGGCACUAGGUUUCUUUUAGGGUGCAGACAUCCAUUUUAAUAUAUUAGAAAAACAUGUGAAGGAAGGCUACAUGAUGGUUUACUUCAAAAAGGGUAUGGAGGACUAAUAUUUAUACACAUGUAAUAUACAAAAAAAAACUUUCUCUUGGAAGAGAAAUUUACAAUGAAAAACUAUGACAUUUAUAUUUUUAUCAAUGAUAAAAAAUACAUUCAUAGCUUUAACAGGCUUCAACUGAACAGCAAUUGUUUUUAUUGCUUUGCAGAGAAUAAAGUGCCUUGACCUGGUUCUCUGGUCUUUUCAUUUAAGAGCAUGGAGUGUGUGAGUGUGU
Long non-coding RNA from Hippocampus comes (tiger tail seahorse), 1305 nucleotides. RefSeq lists it as uncharacterized. The transcript is spliced from 2 exons. NCBI's taxonomy places the organism in Eukaryota, Metazoa, Chordata, Actinopteri, Syngnathiformes, Syngnathidae. The record is from RefSeq and is a predicted model, not a curated record.